This 1339-nucleotide long non-coding RNA is filed under the name Anas platyrhynchos platyrhynchos (common mallard). RNAcentral's name for it is "lncRNA (ENSAPLG00000027276.1)". The record is from RNAcentral. Lineage: Eukaryota; Metazoa; Chordata; Aves; Anseriformes; Anatidae.
UGGCUAAUAUAAAUAUUAAUCUAAUCCUUAUUGGAAGGAUUUUAGUUCUUGCUGCAUAUCACAAAUAUGUAAUCCAGAGGAGAAUGACAUUAGGCUGAAAGUGCGGAGUGCAAAAUAUGAUUUGAAUAAAAUGAUAGGGUGGUAUCUAAUAUUUCCUUUAGGGAGUACUAUACUCUGAGCUGUCACAACCGAUUGUGUAAAUAGACGAGACUGAGGGAUGUGAUCCUAAUCAUAUUGAUGAAACAUUCAUCUGAAAGACCGAGCGCAACCAGAAGGGACUCACUAGAAUACAAUUAAAUCCUAAUCUAGGGAGGAAGAAUCCUCUGCAGGCUUUCCUCUAACCCGCCACCUUCUCCUGCCUUUUCAUUUUGGAAUCAAAUAGAAGAUGGGAUAGAGAGAGGAAAUAAAGGAGACAGUGCUAGGCCAUUUGCCUGCCUGAACGACUGAACUAAUGCAGGGAGUGCUGGAUGGUGAGGAAGUAAAUCAGCAGGCCCAACACGCAUAUAAGAGUAGAUAAAGGCCUAACUUUUCUCACAUGGGUAACUAUCAACCUGCAAAGGGUUUCCACAUGUGAGUGGUGUUAAUUUGGUGCAGGAGGCCUGUGUGUUAGGAUGAAAAGUCCUUCUCUGAUCACAAGUUCAGUUCCAGGCUUGUGAGUAAAACUGUCUGCUGUAAACCAUUUAGUUUCCAUCUGCAGCAGGGAAAUGAUUUCUUACUGAUAAUAUUUAGCAGUUAAGGGGUUGUUUUCCCACCUCUACUGUUUGGUUCCUCUCAGGCUCUCCUUGCCACGGUCUCAAAUUGCCUUCCAGGGCUGGGUAGUGCACAGAGUGAAAUGGUCGCUCUAUUCUCCUGACAUAUGGCAAUAUCCCCUCAGACCAUGAUGGAGAUUGGUCAGGUGACAUUACAUAUGGUAUCAUGCAGCCUGAUUUUAGCUAAGCAUGCUGAAACACUCACUGUGCCUGUUGUAGUCCAAACCUGCUUUACAACAACACCAGAAGACAAAUAAACAUAACAGCAAAGAAGAAAGAAUAGCAAACAGAGGUUGAGACUUGCAUUUGGAAUAAGUGGCUUUCUAAUAAUCUUGCUAUUAUAGGAAAAACAAGUUCAGCAUAUGAAUUGAUUAGAUGUUCUGUUAUCUGGCAAAUUCCAGUCAAUAUCAGCUAAUUAAGCUUUAGGGUUUUAGUUCCCUUUUUUGAUCCAAAGCUUCUGGGAGCACUGCAUAGAAUAGCCGUACCUAAGCCAGGCCUUUUUUUCUUUUUUCUUCUUUUAAGUGGCGUAGGAUGUGGAAAAAGUGAGGCAGAGAAAUAAAAGGCAUCACAAGAAAGGUGUUAAGAGUUGG